This 1170-nucleotide ribosomal RNA is filed under the name Triticum aestivum (bread wheat). Its description in RNAcentral is "partial small subunit ribosomal RNA". The record is from RNAcentral. Lineage: Eukaryota; Viridiplantae; Streptophyta; Magnoliopsida; Poales; Poaceae.
AUGGCCAGUGACAAUGAGCUGCCGGCGGCGGCGGAUCCUGAGUCGAAUCCCACCGCCACCACCAUAUCCUCCCUCGCCCGGGAUGAACUUCUCGAGAUCUUCCUCCGCCUGCCGGACUUGCCGGCGCUCGCCCGCGCCGCCUUCACCUGCCGCACGUGGCUCGACCUACGGCCCACCCCCUCCUUCUUCCCCGUGCGCCCCUUGGAUCCCGACGUCACCGCCACCGUCCGCCGGGGCGACUUCUUCCUCACCUCUCUCCCCGCACCCGCGUCCCUAAGGUGGAACGUCGCCGACUGCUGCGAUGGGUAUAUCCUCCUCUGGGAUACAACCGAGGUGGCGCUCGCUGCUCUCAACCCCAUCACCUGGGCUGUCCACUCCCUCCCGAUGCCUCCCGAUGAUAUCAGGGCGGACGCGGAGAACGCUGAGGAUAUCUGGGCCGACGCGGACAACGCCGAUGAUAGUUGGUCAGACGCGGACAACCUAGGCGGCUUCACCUUCCUUGGUUUUCACAUCUUGUCCUCUGAGGACAACCCUCGGUCGUUCCGAGUGGUCUGCGUCUGCAGUGAUGAAUAUAGGGUUCGUGCCGCGGUCUUCUCGUCGGAGACAUGGGACUGGGUCAUCCAUCCGUGGGUGGAAGGGACAACCAUGAGGGCUAAUGAUGGCAUGAUGGCUGCCGGUUCCAUUUACUGGCCUUGCCCUAGCUAUGGAACUGGAAGCAUGAUAAAAAUUGACACUGCCACGAUGGAUAUCACCACUCUGGACAUGCCCAAUGGAGUGGACAUGGGGGCAGGCAGCAUAAAGGUCGGGGAGACCAAGGAUGGUGAACUUUGUAUUGCUCAUGCAUCUUAUGAUCUCCUUCUCAAUGUUUGGAUCCAUAGUGUUGACGCUGAUGGGAUUCAGGGCUGGACACCGCACAGGACAUUCUCUAUGAGUUCCGAAAUCGAUCGCGUUUCGCAGGGGUGGGCGCGGCACUAUGAUGGAGACCUCGAGGUUGUGCAAGUUAAGAAUGGAUGCGUUUACUUAUCAGCAAAACUGAUGUGCCCUCUUGGCGCACUCUGCCGCUGGGUUUUCUCCCUUUCCUUGGAGACUAUGAAGCUUGACUUGCUGGUUGAGGGAAGGUAUGAUGGUCCUGGCUAUCCGUACAUUAUGGCAUGGCCUCCUUCUUUAGUU